GAUGAACGCUGGCGGCGUGCCUAAUACAUGCAAGUCGAGCGAACAGACGAGGAGCUUGCUCCUCUGACGUUAGCGGCGGACGGGUGAGUAACACGUGGAUAACCUACCUAUAAUACUGGGAUAACUUCGGGAAACCGGAGCUAAUACCGUAUAAGAUAUUGAACCGCAUGGUUCAAUAGUGAAAUACGGUUUUGCUGGCACUUAUAGAUGGAUCCGCGCCGCAUUAGCUAGUUGGUAAGUUAACGGCUUACCACGGCAACGAUGCGUAGCCGACCUGAGAGGCUGAUCGGCCACACUGGAGCUGAGCCACGGUCCAGACUCCUACGGGAGGCAGCAGUAGGGAAUCUUCCGCAAUGGGCGAAAGCUUGACGGAGCAACGCCGCGUGAGUGAUGAAGGUCUUCGGAUCGUAAAACUCUGUUAUUAGGGAAGAACAAAUGUGUAAGUAACUAUGCACGUCUUGACGGUACCUAAUCAGAAAGCCACGGCUAACUACGUG
Molecule: ribosomal RNA, 497 nt
Filed under: uncultured bacterium
Lineage: Bacteria
Description: partial 16S ribosomal RNA
Rfam family: Bacterial small subunit ribosomal RNA
Source: RNAcentral